AGCCCAGCCCCGAGCCCGCCUCCACCCAGAACCUUGACGUCGCCCCGAGGACUUUGCCUCCCGGUUUAGACCUCCCUGACCUGCUUUUGAACCUGAUAAUCCUGCCUCGAACUCUGGCCAGAAGGGAUCCCUCGCCGCGACUUGGCGCGCUAAUUCCCGCCGCCCCGCCGCCCCGCCGCUCUCCGCCCCGGACUCUGCAGGACAGGCUUCGGGCCUCUGGUUCGCAGGCGGGGACCCCCGGCAUCACCCCAUCCCACGCUCACGUGCCCUCCGACCCAAACAGACAGCCCCGUGUUGCAAACAGUCUUUCCUUUCUUGCUUUCUCUUGUGUUCCCUUACAAAGAACAAAAUCUUGGGUAACAUACUAAGCUGGUGACGCUGCGGGGGAGCUGGCAGUGCAAUGAGGGCGCGGAAAGGGGAAGCCAAAGACCAGGGCGCUGGCGAAGGCAAAAAAGGCGGGACGGAGAACAGAGGA
Non-coding RNA from Myotis brandtii (Brandt's bat), 475 nucleotides. The record is from Rfam. Lineage: Eukaryota; Metazoa; Chordata; Mammalia; Chiroptera; Vespertilionidae.